This 232-nucleotide ribosomal RNA is filed under the name uncultured bacterium. RNAcentral describes it as "partial 16S ribosomal RNA". It matches the Rfam family "Bacterial small subunit ribosomal RNA", at positions 99 to 334 of the family's 1533-position model. The record is from RNAcentral.
CGGACGGGUGAGUAAUGUCUGGGAAACUGCCUGAUGGAGGGGGAUAACUACUGGAAACGGUAGCUAAUACCGCAUAACGUCGCGAGACCAAAGAGGGGGACCUUCGGGCCUCUUGCCAUCGGAUGUGCCCAGAUGGGAUUAGCUAGUAGGUGGGGUAAAGGCUCACCUAGGCGACGAUCCCUAGCUGGUCUGAGAGGAUGACCAGCCACACUGGAACUGAGACACGGUCCAG